Molecule: ribosomal RNA, 465 nt
Filed under: Vreelandella stevensii
Lineage: Bacteria; Pseudomonadati; Pseudomonadota; Gammaproteobacteria; Oceanospirillales; Halomonadaceae
Description: partial 16S ribosomal RNA
Rfam family: Bacterial small subunit ribosomal RNA
Source: RNAcentral
GCUACGGGGGGCUGCAGUGGGGAAUAUUGGACAAUGGGGGCAACCCUGAUCCAGCCAUGCCGCGUGUGUGAAGAAGGCCCUCGGGUUGUAAAGCACUUUCAGUGAGGAAGAACGCCUGGUGGUUAAUACCCAUCAGGAAAGACAUCACUCACAGAAGAAGCACCGGCUAACUCCGUGCCAGCAGCCGCGGUAAUACGGAGGGUGCGAGCGUUAAUCGGAAUUACUGGGCGUAAAGCGCGCGUAGGUGGCUUGAUAAGCCGGUUGUGAAAGCCCCGGGCUCAACCUGGGAACGGCAUCCGGAACUGUCAAGCUAGAGUGCAGGAGAGGAAGGUAGAAUUCCCGGUGUAGCGGUGAAAUGCGUAGAGAUCGGGAGGAAUACCAGUGGCGAAGGCGGCCUUCUGGACUGACACUGACACUGAGGUGCGAAAGCGUGGGUAGCAAACAGGAUUAGAUACCCUGGUAGUC